Thalassophryne amazonica is the source of this 1154-nucleotide long non-coding RNA. RefSeq lists it as uncharacterized. The transcript has 3 exons. The record is from RefSeq and is a predicted model, not a curated record. NCBI's taxonomy places the organism in Eukaryota, Metazoa, Chordata, Actinopteri, Batrachoidiformes, Batrachoididae.
GGAUGGUGUUAAAUGUGCUUGAGAAGUUGAAGAACAUAAGCCGCACAUCCCACCCCAAACCGUCAAGAAAGGAGAGUGCCCUGUGCAGCAUGAACAGUAUGGCAUCCUCCACACCCAUGUGAGCUCAAUAGGCAAACUGUAAAGGGUCUUGUGCAGGCUGUAGUUGUGGCCCAAGAAGCUGAAGGAGGAGCCUCUCAAGGGUCUUCAUAACUACAGACGUCAGGGCCACUGGUUUGUAGUUUUUGACCCCUGACGGCCUCCCGACCUUGGGCACUGGCACAACGCACGAGGUCUUCCACUGCCUCGACACCUGCCCCGUCUGCAGGCUGCGGUUGAAGAGCACCUGCAGAGGCACUGCCAGCUCUACAGCACAGUCCUUCAGGACCCUCUGUGCUAUGCCAUCAGGCCCAGCUGAUUUACCAGGAGGCACCUUUCGGAGCUCCGCCCUCACCUCAUCCACAGUGAAGUAAUCCCCGUACGGUCCCCCCACAAAGCUGCUGGGUGGAGCAGAGCAGGUGACAAGCAGCAGAGGUGGAGAUGCUGCUGGGUGGAGUAGAGGAGGAGGCGACAGCAGCAGAGUCAAACCUGCAGUAAAAGUGAUUGAACUCCUCGGUCAUAGUGGUGUCCCCGUGUGGCCCACUCUCCUUCGCUUUGUAGCCAGUAAUGGCUCUCAUACCAGUCCACACUUCCCUCAUGUUGUUAUUUUUCAGUUUGCUCUCUAACCUCCUUUUAUAAUCCCUUUCAGCUUGCUUCAUGCUCUUCUCCAGGUCAUGUUGUACAGCCCUGAUAUGGUCCCCAUCCCUUGUUUUUAAAAGCCUCCUUUUUCAGAUUUAGUUGGUGUUUAAUGCUGCUUGUUAUCCAGGACUUGUUUGGGAAACACCGCACUGUUUGGACAGGGGCCACAACAUCCGUGCAGAAUUUUAUAUAGUCAGUGACACAGUCCACCUUUCCCUCCAAGUUGUCAUCAGUAGCCUGUGUGACUAGAAUGUUCCAUUCAGUAGACUGGAAACAGUCCCUCAGAGCUUCGCUAGUCUCUAGUUCCUCUCUUCAUUUGUUCAUUUGUCCAGUGUUAUAGCUCAAACUUCAGAAGACAUCUUGGACACGGAAUUAAAAUCACAAGAGGAAAAAAACUGAAAAGGGGUUUUGUUUUUUGU